This 324-nucleotide unclassified non-coding RNA is filed under the name soil metagenome. RNAcentral describes it as "partial contains 5.8S ribosomal RNA, internal transcribed spacer 2, and large subunit ribosomal RNA". The stretch from base 1 to 120 matches the Rfam family "5.8S ribosomal RNA", at positions 35 to 154 of the family's 154-position model. The record is from RNAcentral.
GAUGAAGAACGUAGCGAAAUGCGAUACGUAAUGUGAAUUGCAGAAUUCCGUGAAUCAUCGAAUCUUUGAACGCACAUUGCACCCGGUGGUAUUCCGCCGGGUAUGCCUGUCUGAGCGUCAUUUCUACCCUCAAGCCUCGCUUGGUGUUGGGCCCUGCCCGCCGCGGCCGGCCCUAAAGAUAGUGGCGGCGCCGCCUGGCCCUCAGCGUAGUACAGCUCUCGCUCCAGGGUCCGGCGGCAGCCUGCCAGAACCCCCCAACUCUGUGGUUGACCUCGGAUCAGGUAGGGAUACCCGCUGAACUUAAGCAUAUCAAUAAGCGGAGGA